GUGAACGCUGGCGGUAGGCCUAACACAUGCCGGUCGAACGGCAGCACAGUAAGAGCUUGCUCUUACGGGUGGCGAGUGGCGGACGGGUGAGGAAUACAUCGGAAUCUACUUUUUCGUGGGGGAUAACGUAGGGAAACUUACGCUAAUACCGCAUACGACCUACGGGUGAAAGCAGGGGAUCUUCGGACCUUGCGCGAUUGAAUGAGCCGAUGUCGGAUUAGCUAGUUGGCGGGGUAAAGGCCCACCAAGGCGACGAUCCGUAGCUGGUCUGAGAGGAUGAUCAGCCACACUGGAACUGAGACACGGUCCAGACUCCUACGGGAGGCAGCAGUGGGGAAUAUUGGACAAUGGGCGCAAGCCUGAUCCAGCCAUACCGCGUGGGUGAAGAAGGCCUUCGGGUUGUAAAGCCCUUUUGUUGGGAAAGAAAAGCAGCAGGUUAAUACCCCGCUGUUCUGACGGUACCCAAAGAAUAAGCACCGGCUAACUUCGUGC
Molecule: ribosomal RNA, 492 nt
Filed under: uncultured bacterium
Lineage: Bacteria
Description: partial 16S ribosomal RNA
Rfam family: Bacterial small subunit ribosomal RNA
Source: RNAcentral